RNAcentral lists this ribosomal RNA (484 nucleotides) under uncultured bacterium. RNAcentral describes it as "partial 16S ribosomal RNA". It matches the Rfam family "Bacterial small subunit ribosomal RNA", at positions 29 to 507 of the family's 1533-position model. The record is from RNAcentral.
AUUGAACGCUGGCGGCAUGCUUUACACAUGCAAGUCGAACGGCAGCGCGGGCUUCGGCCUGGCGGCGAGUGGCGAACGGGUGAGUAAUACAUCGGAACGUGCCCGGUAGUGGGGGAUAGCUCGGCGAAAGCCGGAUUAAUACCGCAUACGACCUGAGGGUGAAAGCGGGGGAUCUUCGGACCUCGCGCUAUUGGAGCGGCCGAUGGCAGAUUAGCUAGUUGGUGGGGUAAAGGCCUACCAAGGCGACGAUCUGUAGCUGGUCUGAGAGGACGACCAGCCACACUGGGACUGAGACACGGCCCAGACUCCUACGGGAGGCAGCAGUGGGGAAUUUUGGACAAAGGGCGAAAGCCUGAUCCAGCAAUGCCGCGUGUGUGAUGAAGGCCUUCGGGUUGUAAAGCACUUUUGGCGGGAACGAAAAGGACUGUGCCAAUACCACGGUUCGAUGACGGUACCCGCAGAAUAAGCACCGGCUAACUACGUG